CAAGAAGUAGUUUAAUCAGAAUAUCAGCUUUGGGUGUUGAUGGUAGGGAAAAUAUUCCUUCUUCUUGA
RNAcentral lists this transfer RNA (68 nucleotides) under Lemniscomys striatus (typical striped grass mouse). Its description in RNAcentral is "tRNA-Pro". Lineage: Eukaryota; Metazoa; Chordata; Mammalia; Rodentia; Muridae. The record is from RNAcentral.